This 4495-nucleotide long non-coding RNA is filed under the name Citrus sinensis (sweet orange). RNAcentral describes it as "long non-coding RNA (CSIN_LNC004758)". Lineage: Eukaryota; Viridiplantae; Streptophyta; Magnoliopsida; Sapindales; Rutaceae. The record is from RNAcentral.
UGAAAGUAAAAUAAAAAUAAGUUCUUAAUAGCAGAGUGAAAGCCACUUGAAAUCAGAGUGUUGGAAAAAAAAUUUUGCAAAGACUGUUUGGGCUAUGGCACAAGAAGAAUCUUCAGCAGCAUUCUCUGAUCUUGCUGUUGAUGAUCUUUACUUCUCAGCUCUAUUUGAUACAGAAAAUCAAGAAGAAGAUCUUGCUGUCGAUGAUCUUUAUUUCUCAGCUCUAUUUGAUAAAGAAAAUCAAGAAGAUAUCAUCCCAGUAUCAGAUGAAAUGUAUGCUGAAGAGUUGCAGUUUCAGGAAGCAGGUAUGGCUUCCACAAUCAGUUCCCAGAUGGCAAAAAGUGCUUCUCCAUCAUCAUCACCACCAUCGCUGACAACCCAAGCAUGUUUGGGGCCACAGUCAGAGCCAAUAGAGGUCACAGUGAAAGCCGGUGAGUCCUCUUUGAGCUUCUGUGAGAUUUGUUGUGAGAGGAAAGAAAAAGAUCAAAUGUUCAAAAUUGAGAGUUGCAUUCACUCAUUUUGUUCUGAUUGCAUAAGCAAGCAAGUGGCCACAAAGAUUCAAGUCGGCGUCAUUACUAGGGUUACAUGUCCUGGUCUGGACUGCAAGUCAGUCCUGGAAUAUGAUUCUUGUAAGCCUGUGCUUCCAAAAGAAGUGCUUGAGCUUUGGGAGGAAGCACUUUGUCAGGAGCUGAUUGAUGCUUCAGAGAGGUUUUACUGCCCAUUCAAGGAUUGUUCAGCCAUGUUGGUCUACGAAAAUGAUGGAGAAACUGUUAUAAGUGAAUCUGAGUGCCCUUUUUGCCAUAGAUUGUUUUGUGCUCAGUGUUAUGUGCCAUGGCAUCCUGGUGUUAAUUGUGAGGAGUAUCAAAGACUGAAUGUUGAUGAAAGAAGCAGAGAAGAUUUAAUGGUGAGAGAGCUUGCUAAGGAGAAGAAAUGGAGUAGGUGCCCUCAUUGCAAAUACUAUGUUGAAAGAACUGAAGGUUGCCCUCAUAUGACUUGCAGGUAAGUAUUUGAUCUUUCAUUGUUUUUAUUAUAAUUUAGACUUAUGAAAUAGGCACAUGUGUAAAAAGAGUAUCCCCAAAGUUAGGGAUCAACAAUAUAUAGCUUUGUUAUGUGUAGUUCGGAUAUCUAAGCCUAAAAUGAGUCAAAAUGAUGUUUUUAGAAACUGUUUUCAACAACAAAGUUGAAAUCAACAAUAUAUGGCUCGGAUGUUGGGCGCAGUAACUGGUAUAAGAGUCGUCUUGUGAUCGGAUAUGUGGAUGAAAAUGUGCUAUAAUUCUAUUGACCUUCACUAGGACGCUAGGUCCUUAGGGGAAGAAUGUAAUAUUCCACAUCACUAGCUACUAUGAGUGAGUUCUUGAGUUAAUCUAUAAGCCAUGCGUUAUUGUAACUUAGUAGACGCAUUUGAGGCUGUGUGUCCAAAACAGAAAAUAUUUAUUUGUUUUGUCAGGUAUGGACUGUUACAAAUGCUGUUUUGAAAAAUCAUAGAAUGCAUUUGGUAGGAGGUGAUACAUUAGGUUUGUUUCUGAAAACAGAAAACGGGUUUCUUCUAGUUUAGGCGUAUUGAAAUUUUGAUGAUUUUGCGAUUGCAGGUGCCAAUUUCAGUUCUGUUAUGGAUGUGAAGCACAAUGGACUCAAAACCAUGGCGGUUGCUCAAGAAAAUAACAUAUUAAUAGGACUGCGAAUUUGGAAUAUUAAGAAUAUGAAUUAUCUACUGAUAUUUAACCUUAAACAGCAUCCUUUUAAAGACUGUUUUGUGAGAUUAUUAUAAGACCAGAAGCAGAUUGUGAAGAAGUGUGAAAUCAUUUGUGUUAUAUUUUAUUUUCUAAGCCCCUUAAGUUUAUAUUUUUUGUGUAAUAAUCUCUAAUAUGGAUAACCAAAAUCCAUUUCGCCACUGUCCACACAAUAAUAAAAAGAGAUUAUUUCAUUCAUUUGAGUGUUUGAAUAUUCUAGUCUUUAAUUUUGCAUUAUUAAAAUUUGUUAAGUCUUUUUGAAACGCGCUGGCCAACGAUGAGGAAAUCGUUUCAAAAGAAAGCAAGUUCUAAUGAUAUGAUGAGAGAAACAGCAUUGAUAUCCAAUGCAGAAGAAGGAAGUGUGAUGAGGAGCCAGCAGAUGAAUAAUAAUGUGGGAGAAAAUGAAGGGAAUUGUAGUUGGGUUCCUCAUGAAAGAACUGGGAUUUAUUACCCAAAAGGCCAUGAAAAAGUUUUUGACGAUGUUCCUCCUAUUGAUUUUGAAGUUAAUUGGUUUUUUCAGAAGCUUAUGGGUAAUAUAAGAGCUUUGUAUUGUCUCAAAGCAAAAUCUUAUUGUAAAAAAAGAAAAAAAAAUUGAAGUAUCAGUAAUGAAAAAUGAGAUCAUUUAGUUUCAGAGCAAUACUCAACAUCUUAAUAUUUAUGUCUCAAUUUAAAUUUUAACUAAUGUGUCAUUUAUGAUUUAUCUAUUCGAUGGUGGUUAAGUAUUUUUUUUAAGUUAAGAAAUUUAUUAUCUAAUAAAUGAGUGACGGGCUCAGAUAUUAGUAACUAACAUUAUUAUUAAUUCUAUUCAAAAAAGAAAAAAAAACAUUAUUGUUAGUUAUAUUAUCAUCUUAUUCUUUAGGCCACUUGUUUAUUAUCAUCUCGUUCUUUAGCCUAUCUGUGAAAUUGGAUGAGGUGGGCCUACCAUGGGCUUACCUUUUUGUUGUGGCUCAACUUUCAGAUAUUAGGCUGCAUUCUUUGUUCCAUCUCAGCAGAGCUUUUAAUACUCCUAAAAAAUCCUCAUAACACUUCUUUUAAAGUCUAUUUCUUAAAAUGUCAUAACUUAAUUUAUAAAAUAUUAAUCCAUAAAUUAAGAUUAAUAAUCCUGUCAUUAAAUUAUCCCAUAAAAAGAUUGUAAAUUCUUAAAAUUUUCUAAAAGCAUUUUUAAUUAAACUUUAAAAUUUAUAUAUAAAUUUUGAAAUGAGGUUGGUGUAAAAAAAGUUAAAAAAUAAUUUAUUCAAGUAUUUAAUUAAAUUUUCAUUAAAAAUAAAAAUAAUUAAUUUAUUUUUUAUUAUUUAGGUAAUUUUAAUUAAAGAGUUAUAAGAAAUUUAGAAGGGUGUCAAAAGACCAACUCCUUCAUUUGUCUUGGUUACUUUCGGCCGGCCGCUGGGCAUUGGUAAUUAAGAUAUAAUUCAUGGCAUUUGACUUGUUUUAAAUAAUUAUAACAUUAGUGGUUGUGAAGUUCUAGAAAUAUCUAAGUUGAUAUGUAUGUACCUAUAAAUGGAUAAUGGUUUUUAUGAUAUUAGUGCUCUUUCGAUUUUUGUGUUGAUUUUCAUAUUUAUAAAAGGAAAACAUUAUUACAAGAUAAAUACAAAAAAGAAAAAAAGAUUAGUAAUACUAAUACAAUUAAAUGUUUAUGUACUGAUACUUUAUAUAGAAUAAUCUCCAUAUAAUUAUAGAAAGUUUUGGCCAAUUAAAAUAAGAAUAAAAUAUGUGCUAUAAUAAGUUAUAAUUUUUCUAAAUCUCUUCUUAAGGAGCUUACCUCCACAUAAUAAUAAUAAUUAUUAUUUAUAUAUUAUAAAACAUACAUGUUAUGUUACAUUAAGUGAAUUUAUAUCGACAUAGUAUAAUGAGAAAAUGAGAAAAAAAAAUUUUUUAAAAUGUGAAAGUUUAGAGACUUUUAUAAUAAUUUUAUAGAAGCAUUUAUUAAUUUUUUUUGAAACUUUGUUUAUCUCUGUUAUCACUGUAUAUAUAAUAGAUUUGUCAUGCUCCAUUAAUAAUUUGUUGCUAUGCUUCUAUUAAAUUAUAACCUUGUAAUAAUAACGGGUCUUUGCUAUGUUAUAUUAGCUCUAACAUACAAUAAUCCAAAAAUAAUUUCUUUGUACCUCUAAGUUGUUGCUAUUCAAAUAAUUUAAGGGUCGUGGAAAAUUAAUUUUAGGUCAUUUAUACUCAGCAGCUGUGCAUAAUAAUAAAUUAAUUUGGGUCUAACAUUAUAAUUACAUAGAAGUUUUACUGACCUUAAAUAGUGGAAAUAUUUUAGGCAUAGAAUAAAUAAUGCCUUAUGAUUUGCUAUAAUAAUAGUAUUUACCUUAAAUACUUAUUGUGUAAAUUAUAGAAAUUGGGCCUCUUAGUAGUAAUUCUUCAGCCCAUGUCACUACUGCAACAUAUAGAGAAAGUGACUUAUGUACUAUCUUAGUAUCUUUUAUGUCCAAAGCCAAGUCAAAAGUUGAAAUCCUCUAAUGAAAGGAGUCCCAAUGAGAGCAAACAACUUCCAAGGUAAGUUACUCCUCCAAUUAUGCAACUCCCCAUUAUAUAUUAUUGGAUGCCAAGAGUCCUGAAAGUAAAAGAAAAAUAAGUUCUUGAUAGCAGAGUGAAAGCCACUUGAAAUCAGAGUGUUGGAAAAAAAUAUUUGCAAAGACUGUUUUGGCUAUGGCACAAGAAGAAUCUUCAGCAGCAUUCUCUGAUCUUGCUGUUGAUGAUCUUUACUUCUCAGCUCUAAUUGAUAAAGAAAAUCAAGAAGAUAUCAUCCCGGUAUCAGAUGAAAUGUAUGC